CAGUCGCCGCGGUAAUACGGAGGGGGCUAGCGUUGUUCGGAAUUACUGGGCGUAAAGCGCACGUAGGCGGCUUGGUAAGUUAGAGGUGAAAGCCUGGAGCUCAACUCCAGAAUUGCCUUUAAGACUGCCGAGCUAGCAGGUGAGAGAGGUAAGUGGAAUUCCGAGUGUAGAGGUGAAAUUCGUAGAUAUUCGGAAGAACACCAGUGGCGAAGGCGGCUUACUGGCUCAUACUGGACGCUGAGGUGCGAAAGCGUGGGGAGCAAACAGGAUUAGAGACCCGUGUAGUCCCUGUCUCUUAUAC
This 301-nucleotide ribosomal RNA is filed under the name uncultured bacterium. RNAcentral's name for it is "partial 16S ribosomal RNA". It matches the Rfam family "Bacterial small subunit ribosomal RNA", at positions 509 to 807 of the family's 1533-position model. The record is from RNAcentral.